This 503-nucleotide ribosomal RNA is filed under the name uncultured bacterium. RNAcentral describes it as "partial 16S ribosomal RNA". It matches the Rfam family "Bacterial small subunit ribosomal RNA", at positions 30 to 523 of the family's 1533-position model. The record is from RNAcentral.
AUUGAACGCUGGCGGCAGGCUUAACACAUGCAAGUCGAGCGGGGUGAUGGUGCUUGCACUAUCACUUAGCGGCGGACGGGUGAGUAAUGCUUAGGAAUCUGCCUAUUAGUGGGGGACAACAUCUCGAAAGGGAUGCUAAUACCGCAUACGUCCUACGGGAGAAAGCAGGGGAUCACUUGUGACCUUGCGCUAAUAGAUGAGCCUAAGUCGGAUUAGCUAGUUGGUGGGGUAAAGGCCUACCAAGGCGACGAUCUGUAGCGGGUCUGAGAGGAUGGUCCGCCUCACUGGGACUGAGACACGGCCCAGACUCCUACGGGAGGCAGCAGUGGGGAAUAUUGGACAAUGGGGGGAACCCUGAUCCAGCCAUGCCGCGUGUGUGAAGAAGGCCUUAUGGUUGUAAAGCACUUUAAGCGAGGAGGAGGCUCUUUUGGUUAAUACCCAAGAUGAGUGGACGUUACUCGCAGAAUAAGCACCGGCUAACUCCGUGCCAGCCGCCGCUGUAA